UGGCACGUGUCGUGUUAAAAAUAUAAAAAUAUUUAGCAUUGCAUCUCAAACAUGUGCGAAAUGCUAAUAUAAUAAUAAAUAGACCAAAAUCUUAAGAGGUCUAAAUUACCUUUGAGAAAUUUUUUAAAAAGUCCUCCAGUCGUGGAGUGAUUUAAAAGGUUUUAAAGGUAAUUUGGUCAAGGAAACUUAACACGUGUGAACUUAAAUAUAUGUAACCUUUUUUUAGGAGAACCUCGCAUGCAAUUGAUCAGAUAUAUGAAUAUCAUUAAGUAAAUUGAGAAUGGUGUCUUUUUUA
Molecule: long non-coding RNA, 295 nt
Filed under: Olea europaea subsp. europaea
Lineage: Eukaryota; Viridiplantae; Streptophyta; Magnoliopsida; Lamiales; Oleaceae
Source: RNAcentral